This 468-nucleotide ribosomal RNA is filed under the name uncultured bacterium. RNAcentral's name for it is "partial 16S ribosomal RNA". It matches the Rfam family "Bacterial small subunit ribosomal RNA", at positions 28 to 507 of the family's 1533-position model. The record is from RNAcentral.
GACGAACGCUGGCGGCGUGCCUAACACAUGCAAGUCGAACGGAAAGGCCCUGCUUUUGCGGGGUGCUCGAGUGGCGAAGGGGUGAGUAACACGUGAGUAACCUGCCCUUGUCUUUGGGAUAACUUUACGAAAAUGCGGAUAAUACCCGAUAGGAGCUCCUGCAGCAUGGUGGGGGUUGGAAAGUUUCGGCGUUUGGGGCUGGACUCGCGGGUUAUCGGCCUGAUGGUGUGGUAGUGGCUUACCAAGGCUUUGAAGGGUAGCCGGCCUUAGAGGGUGGCCGGGCACAAUGGUACUAAGGUACGGCGCAGUCUGGUACGGGCCGCAGUAGUGGAGAGUAUUGCACAGCGGGGGGAAGUGUGAGACAGCGGCCCUGCGUGCGGAAUAACGGGCUACGAGUUAUAAACAACUGUGUCCUUUGACGAAGCGGUAGUGACGGUAAUGAGUAAAGAAGCACCGGCUAACUACGUG